Molecule: ribosomal RNA, 497 nt
Filed under: uncultured bacterium
Lineage: Bacteria
Description: partial 16S ribosomal RNA
Rfam family: Bacterial small subunit ribosomal RNA
Source: RNAcentral
GAUGAACGCUGGCGGCGUGCCUAAUACAUGCAAGUCGAGCGAACAGACGAGGAGCUUGCUCCUCUGACGUUAGCGGCGGACGGGUGAGUAACACGUGGAUAACCUACCUAUAAGACUGGGAUAACUUCGGGAAACCGGAGCUAAUACCGGAUAAUAUAUUGAACCGCAUGGUUCAAUAGUGAAAGACGGUUUUGCUGUCACUUAUAGAUGGAUCCGCGCCGCAUUAGCUAGUUGGUAAGGUAACGGCUUACCAAGGCAACGAUGCGUAGCCGACCUGAGAGGGGGAGCGGCAACACUGGAACUGAGACCCGGUCCAGACCCCUACGGGAGGCAGCAGUAGGGAAUCUUCCGAAAUGGGCGAAAGCCUGACGGAGCAACGCCGCGGGAGUGAUGAAGGUCUUCGGAUCAUAAACCUCUGUUAUUAGGGAAAAACAAAUGUGUAAGUAACUAUGCACGUCUUGACGGUACCUAAUCAGAAAGCCACGGCUAACUACGUG